RNAcentral lists this long non-coding RNA (1028 nucleotides) under Salmo salar (Atlantic salmon). RNAcentral describes it as "lncRNA (ENSSSAG00000083645.1)". The record is from RNAcentral. Lineage: Eukaryota; Metazoa; Chordata; Actinopteri; Salmoniformes; Salmonidae.
UUUAUUUUUUAUUUACUUUUAGUGAUCAACUCACAGACAUUUUAUCUUGGCCCUCCAUUCUUCACUUGUAAAGAUGACCACUUACAAUAAAUACAUGGAAUAGUGAGUUCUCCUGGGCACAAUCCUGUUACAGGAUGGCUGGAAUACAUCACCUAAGACAGGGAUGCUCCAUAGUACUUCACUGGUCUGCGGAGUCCAGGGGUUUCGUUGUAGCACAAAGCUAUGGUAGAGGCCUCCAGAGUGUAGUAGUUUGUGUAAUUACUUUCGCCUUUUAUUCUGGGGGGCAAGUCCAAUGCAUUCAGGAAAUGUAGAAGAAAGCUUUUUAUUCCCUCUUCCUCUUCACAUCGACAAAUCCUGACAGCCUGAAAAACAAAGAAGUGAAACAUGCAAUAUUCAACAAAUUAUAAGCUACAUGGACAAUACAUGUUUUAUAUGUGUUUUAUUGUCAUUGUUUAGUGUUAAUUUUGUUGAUGUGGAAAUUGGUCGAGGACAAAAGCUUCAGGUUAAAUACAUUCCAUUUACACACUUACCAAAGUCAGAAGAUUGGAAAAUGGAGUCUGGUGGGGUGGAUACUUGUAAUUGUGGAAUGCCUGUGGAAAUCUUCUUUCUAAAUCGUACAUCACAAGCCUACCCUCACGAGACUCAAAGAAGGCAUUUGGAAGAAGACUGGCCUGAUGAAUGUGACCUAAGAAAAAGAUGCUAUGAAGCAACUUUUAACAAACAUGAAUAAUGAAUAACAUAAUUAACAAACAAUGUAUAACAUAACAAGAUCAAUUAAUAAUUGUUUGUUCUAGAAACAAUUCAUUUGUAACAUGUAUAGUAAACCAAAAAUAUGCUAAAUGUGUGGGAAUGUAUUUUAAGCAUAUGAUUAGUGUAUUUAAUUAGGCGAUGUGUACCAUAUUCACGUAAUGUUGUAUUCCGUCAACUCCCAUCCUCAGGCGACUCCUCCAAAGCCUUACAACCUGUCUAAUAAAUGCUGUUCCUGAUGACUUUAAGCUUCCAUCAUUUCUUUUCCUCCAUUCCAGACA